UCUACUAAGUUGACCUUGCUUUCUAAUUUAAGUUGAUUACAUGGGAUAAGCAAAUCAGAAAUUUGAGAGAAUUAAAAGAUCUACAGUUAUGUUAAGCGGACAGAAGUUGAGCUCCAUUGAUUCGUAAAAUUAGGUUUUUCAAGUGUUUAAUAUGCAGAUUGGUGAAGCGUUUGAGGCUGAUCAUCUCGACUCUACAGUUCCUAGGGUUUGCUACAUUAAGCGGUGUUUUCAUUUGAACUUUGAUAUUCACUAUUUUUUGUAGCUUAAAGAAGUACAUUGUUAGUGAACAUAUCGGUUAAUUCUUAUAUAUAUAGGCGAGCUCUAGCGGGCUAGUCAGGUUUGAUUUAUGACAUUGCUUGUCGGUGUGUGGAGAAAGGUCGUGAAGAGCGGCCGCCGAUGGCUGAGAUUGUAAAAGAACUUAAGUUUUCACUCAAGCAACAAGUAAUCUUAAUUUCUUAUUGUUUUCUGAACGCUUCCAAUUCUUGAAUGUUAAUUGAAUGAAGAAAAGAUAAAACUUUUUUACAUGAGAUGCGACUGGAUUUUCCAGAACACUUUAUUUAAAUGACGUUUUGCUCCAAGUGAGGCAUCAGAUGAUUCAUUCAUUUGCAAGUUUAAAAACUGGCAGAAUAGUGAUUUUCUUGGCUGUGGCUGUGUCAGGGAGGCCAUCAAUGUAUUUUUCAAUUGCCUUAUCCAAAGGCGUAACCAUGGUAGGACAUAACAGACUUAGUUCCUCGUAACGGUCUGUCACACCCCAACCAAUGGCGGAAUCAUCGGAGUGGGACUUGUCAAGAUUGUAAGAGACUUCAUAACACUAUUUGUGACAAUAUUUAAUUCAACCGAUUUCAUUUCAUAAAUAAAUUGUCAAAACAUUACAAGAAAAGCAAAUAACAACAUUGUUCAACAUAACAUAAACAAAAUUGAUACAACACUUUAAACCUAAACGUCUAAGUGAGUAUCUAGGCAUCUUUGCUAUCCAUUUUCAUAGCAUCAUCAAUCAUCAACCUGUAACAUGUUUAAAAUACAAUUCAAUGCAAAAGCAAAUGCGAGUAUACAAGUUUAAGAAUAAGUAUAAGUAUAAAGUUUAAAACGAAUCCACAUGGCAACUUAGUUUAUACAAGAUCAACCUAACAUGGCAUGCAAUAUUUCUAGCCAAUCCUCUGUUUACGCAACAAUGAUAUAAUUCAACAUGACCACAAGUCUACGGGCGGUGCGUUACUCCUAUAGCGCUAUACAUGUCGAAUGGAGGCUCGUGAAAGCUAAUGACUAAAACAUAUCACAUAAGUAUGGUCCACGUAAGCACCAAGUAUCAUAACAUUGUAUUCAUGUAUAAGGAUUGUUUUCGUGUAUUGCAUAAAGAAUAAGUUUAAGUGUAGUUUAAUAGUUAAACAUGUUACACCCCAAAAAGUGGUAAACAUAAAAAGGGGGUUGCGAGUAUACUCACAAAAUUUGCAUAUGCCUUCCGAUUAUCCAAUGUGACGAAAUUGAUGAGGCUAGAAGGUUGAAUAUGUUCGCUGUUAGGGCUGGAUUUUUAUUAUACGUGAUCCUUAUACGUGAUCCUAACCAGUGAUCCUUGUUUCUUUGGCAGACAGUGAUCCUCAGCAGGACUUCAGGAUCAGGAUCAUGGACCAUCAAAGGAUCCUCAUGCUAACAGUUACCUUCGUUUAAAACAAUGUUAUUUUGCAGGAACAUCUAGCAGGAUACGCUCUUAGCAUCAUAAUCAAGGGACGCGUCUUCACAAUUAUAGCAUGAGCUUAAUCGAAGAUAGACGUUGCAAAGGAUAUGGAAACUUAGCUUGAUUUAUGGGCGGCAAUUUAGGCUAGAUUGUCUUUUAUUUCUAAAGGGGUAAUGAGCUGAUUAUUAGUCUUUUUACCUAAAAUAGGUCACCUACACUUGUAUAAAUACCACUCUUCCUCAUUUGGAAGAACGGACGACGACACACAACACAAUUCUCACACGCUUAGACACUCGAAACUAUAGUGAUCCUUGUACUCAGCUCAUUGUCAUCCGAAGUUGUAACAAUAUUUUUCUUAUAUUGAAGUUGGUGAUCGGUAGUUGCCAUCACCCGAGGUUUUUUAUGCCGGAGAUCAUACAUUGAUCAAGGGCUUUUUCCUCGUAUAAAUCAUUGUGUCUUUGCAUAUUUCUC
RNAcentral lists this long non-coding RNA (2143 nucleotides) under Helianthus annuus (common sunflower). RNAcentral's name for it is "hypothetical non coding rna". The record is from RNAcentral. Lineage: Eukaryota; Viridiplantae; Streptophyta; Magnoliopsida; Asterales; Asteraceae.